UGGAGUAUAGCCAAGUGGUAAGGCAUCGGCCUUUGAAGCCGAUCAACAGAGGUUCGAAUCCUUUUACUCCAG
This 72-nucleotide transfer RNA is filed under the name Haplomitrium mnioides. RNAcentral describes it as "tRNA-Gln". It matches the Rfam family "tRNA". From Rfam's summary of the family: Transfer RNA (tRNA) molecules are approximately 80 nucleotides in length. Their secondary structure includes four short double-helical elements and three loops (D, anti-codon, and T loops). Lineage: Eukaryota; Viridiplantae; Streptophyta; Haplomitriopsida; Calobryales; Haplomitriaceae. The record is from RNAcentral.